Molecule: long non-coding RNA, 362 nt
Filed under: Hordeum vulgare
Lineage: Eukaryota; Viridiplantae; Streptophyta; Magnoliopsida; Poales; Poaceae
Description: long non-coding RNA (HVUL_LNC006424)
Source: RNAcentral
CUGGAUCGAUGACAUCAUUUCUUCUCGUUGCGUCAUCACACUGGUGAUGUUCUUAUUCUAGAUCUAGUGAUAGUAAAUUAUAUAUAUUCAUAGAACAUAAAAAUAAAAAAUAAUAAAUAAUAAAAUAAAAUAAUGUAAUAAAUAAUUAACUAAACAUAUAUAGAAGUACAAAAUAAUGCGUACCAAAAACAUAAUCUGAAAUAAAAACACAUAGCAAAUGAUGUUGGUCACGUGUGCCAACUCUAGCAAAUACUUCACCGCCCGUCAAAUCCAACCACUUAUAUACACACUCGGAUCAGUUCCUCACUCACCAACAUCCCCAAAUCAAUCCCCAACCAAACACCGCCGCCAACGACCUAGCC